This is a long non-coding RNA of Oreochromis aureus, 493 nucleotides long. The record is from Ensembl. NCBI's taxonomy places the organism in Eukaryota, Metazoa, Chordata, Actinopteri, Cichliformes, Cichlidae.
GCCGAUGCCCGUGAUUCCAUCAGCGUCACAGGUUUUGGAUGUGAUCGGAGAGAUCAGAGUGUUGCUGCUGACAGAUGAGCAGCUGCAGAACAGCGAAGUUAUCAACUUGUGGUUCUCAGACCGCCUGAGGAGCUUCUUGCCGUACGCAUCGGGAAUGUUUCUGCGCUGUCUGAGCAGCACAAACCUGACCUGUCAGUCAUACCAGGAAAUACUGCAGACGUUUAUCGGCCAGUUUAACCAGAUGACCUCAAACCAGCAGCAGUUGGUCUUGCAGGAUUUCAUACUGCAGUUCCUGACGCAGCCACGCUCAGAUUCCAGCUGUGUGUCUACCUCCAACAGCACUGCAGUGUGGAUACAGCAGAAUUUGGGUCCAUUUUCAGCACUUUUGUCCCUCACUCAGCUGAUCCAUCUCAACCCACAAUUCAACCCUAUUGAAGUCCUGACACUCCUGACUGCACAACAGAGCGCAGAGCUGCUGUCGCUUCCAAAUCUG